GGAGUUAGCCGGUGCUUCUUCUGCGAGUAACGUCACAGAUGUAAGGUAUUAACUUACACCCUUUCCUCCUCGCUGAAAGUGCUUUACAACCCGAAGGCCUUCUUCACACACGCGGCAUGGCUGCAUCAGGGUUUCCCCCAUUGUGCAAUAUUCCCCACUGCUGCCUCCCGUAGGAGUCUGGGCCGUGUCUCAGUCCCAGUGUGGCUGAUCAUCCUCUCAGACCAGCUAGGGAUCGUCGCCUAGGUGAGCCUUUACCUCACCUACUAGCUAAUCCCACCUGGGCUUAUCCAUCAGCGCAAGGCCCGAAGGUCCCCUGCUUUCCCCCGUAGGGCGUAUGCGGUAUUAGCAGUCGUUUCCAACUGUUAUCCCCACAAAUGGGCAAAUUCCCAGGCAUUACUCCACCGUCCGCCGCUCGUCAUCUUCAAACGACAAGUACUUUAGUAAUACGUUACCGUCUCGACUUGCAUGUGUUAGGUCCGUCGCCGCCGACGCGUUCAAUACUGAGACCACUAAUACAACUACUGA
Molecule: ribosomal RNA, 525 nt
Filed under: uncultured bacterium
Lineage: Bacteria
Description: partial 16S ribosomal RNA
Source: RNAcentral